UAAAGCGAUUCAGCGGGUUACGAUUGACGGAGCGAAGCGACGUCAAAGCGUAUACAAAGUCGAGUCGGUUUAAGGAUACGUUCGUUGGGUAGGGGAGCGUUCUGUAAGCCUGUGAAGGUGGCCUGUGAGGGUUGCUGGAGGUAUCAGAAGUGCGAAUGCUGACAUAAGUAACGAUAAAGCGGGUGAAAAGCCCGCUCGCCGGAAGACCAAGGGUUCCUGUCCAACGUUAAUCGGGGCAGGGUGAGUCGACCCCUAAGGCGAGGCCGAAAGGCGUAGUCGAUGGGAAACGGGUUAAUAUUCCCGUACUUGGUGUUACUGCGAAGGGGGGACGGAGAAGGCUAUGUUGGCCGGGCGACGGUUGUCCCGGUUUAAGCGUGUAGGUGUGUGUUCCAGGUAAAUCCGGUUCACUUUAACACUGAGGCGUGAUGACGAGGCACUACGGUGCUGAAGCAACAAAUGCCCUGCUUCCAGGAAAAGCCUCUAAGCAUCAGGUAACAUCAAAUCGUACCCCAAACCGACACAGGUGGUCAGGUAGAGAAUACCAAGGCGCUUGAGAGAACUCGGGUGAAGGAACUAGGCAAAAUGGUGCCGUAACUUCGGGAGAAGGCACGCUGACACGUAGGUGAAGUGAUUUACUCACGGAGCUGAAGUCAGUCGAAGAUACCAGCUGGCUGCAACUGUUUAUUAAAAACACAGCACUGUGCAAACACGAAAGUGGACGUAUACGGUGUGACGCCUGCCCGGUGCCGGAAGGUUAAUUGAUGGGGUCAGCGCAAGCGAAGCUCCUGAUCGAAGCCCCGGUAAACGGCGGCCGUAACUAUAACGGUCCUAAGGUAGCGAAAUUCCUUGUCGGGUAAGUUCCGACCUGCACGAAUGGCGUAAUGAUGGCCAGGCUGUCUCCACCCGAGACUCAGUGAAAUUGAACUCGCUGUGAAGAUGCAGUGUACCCGCGGCAAGACGGAAAGACCCCGUGAACCUUUACUAUAGCUUGACACUGAACAUUGAGCCUUGAUGUGUAGGAUAGGUGGGAGGCUUUGAAGUGUGGACGCCAGUCUGCAUGGAGCCGACCUUGAAAUACCACCCUUUAAUGUUUGAUGUUCUAACGUGGACCCGUAAUCCGGGUUGCGGACAGUGUCUGGUGGGUAGUUUGACUGGGGCGGUCUCCUCCUAAAGAGUAACGGAGGAGCACGAAGGUUGGCUAAUCCUGGUCGGACAUCAGGAGGUUAGUGCAAUGGCAUAAGCCAGCUUGACUGCGAGCGUGACGGCGCGAGCAGGUGCGAAAGCAGGUCAUAGUGAUCCGGUGGUUCUGAAUGGAAGGGCCAUCGCUCAACGGAUAAAAGGUACUCCGGGGAUAACAGGCUGAUACCGCCCAAGAGUUCAUAUCGACGGCGGUGUUUGGCACCUCGAUGUCGGCUCAUCACAUCCUGGGGCUGAAGUAGGUCCCAAGGGUAUGGCUGUUCGCCAUUUAAAGUGGUACGCGAGCUGGGUUUAGAACGUCGUGAGACAGUUCGGUCCCUAUCUGCCGUGGGCGCUGGAGAACUGAGGGGGGCUGCUCCUAGUACGAGAGGACCGGAGUGGACGCAUCACUGGUGUUCGGGUUGUCAUGCCAAUGGCACUGCCCGGUAGCUAAAUGCGGAAGAGAUAAGUGCUGAAAGCAUCUAAGCACGAAACUUGCCCCGA
RNAcentral lists this ribosomal RNA (1680 nucleotides) under Salmonella enterica subsp. enterica serovar Typhimurium. RNAcentral's name for it is "partial 23S ribosomal RNA". It matches the Rfam family "Bacterial large subunit ribosomal RNA", at positions 1163 to 2802 of the family's 2925-position model. Lineage: Bacteria; Pseudomonadati; Pseudomonadota; Gammaproteobacteria; Enterobacterales; Enterobacteriaceae. The record is from RNAcentral.